AUGUGUGUGUAUGUGUUACAUGUGUGUAUAUGGGCAUAUAGGUGUGUGUACGUGUUACAUGUGUGUAUAUGGGCAUAUAUGUGUGUGUAUGUGUUACAUGUGUGUAUAUGGGCAUAUAGGUGUGUGUACGUGUUACAUGUGUGUAUAUGGGCAUAUAUGUGUGUGUAUGUGUUACAUGUGUGUAUAUGGGCAUAUAGGUGUGUGUACGUGUUACAUGUGUGUAUAUGGGCAUAUAUGUGUGUGUAUGUGUUACAUGUGUGUAUAUGGGCAUAUAGGUGUGUGUACGUGUUACAUGUGUGUAUAUGGGCAUAUAUGUGUGUGUAUGUGUUACAUGUGUGUAUAUGGGCAUAUAGGUGUGUGUACGUGUUACAUGUGUGUAUAUGGGCAUAUAUGUGUGUGUAUGUGUUACAUGUGUGUAUAUGGGCAUAUAGGUGUGUGUACGUGUUACAUGUGUGUAUAUGGGCAUAUAUGUGUGUGUAUGUGUUACAUGUGUGUAUAUGGGCAUAUAGGUGUGUGUACGUGUUACAUGUGUGUAUAUGGGCAUAUAUGUGUGUGUAUGUGUUACAUGUGUGUAUAUGGGCAUAUAGGUGUGUGUACGUGUUACAUGUGUGUAUAUGGGCAUAUAUGUGUGUGUAUGUGUUACAUGUGUGUAUAUGGGCAUAUAGGUGUGUGUACGUGUUACAUGUGUGUAUAUGGGCAUAUAUGUGUGUGUAUGUGUUACAUGUGUGUAUAUGGGCAUAUAGGUGUGUGUACGUGUUACAUGUGUGUAUAUGGGCAUAUAUGUGUGUGUAUGUGUUACAUGUGUGUAUAUGGGCAUAUAGGUGUGUGUACGUGUUACAUGUGUGUAUAUGGGCAUAUAUGUGUGUGUAUGUGUUACAUGUGUGUAUAUGGGCAUAUAGGUGUGUGUACGUGUUACAUGUGUGUAUAUGGAGGGAUGGGCGCAGCGGGAUGAAGGAUGGGCACUGUGGAAUGGAGUGGAAUGAACACAUUGGGAUUGAAAGGGAUGGGCAUAUAGUGGGAUCGAGAGGGAUGGACAGAGAUGGACAGAGCAGGAUGGAGAGAGCUGGAUGCAAUGGGAUGGAGAGAGAUGGGCAUAGUGGGAUGGAUAGUAAUGGGCGCAGUAGGAUGGACGGAGUGGAAUGGAACAGGAUGGACAUGGGCACUGUGGAAUGGAGUGGAAUGAACACAUUGGGAUUGAAAGGGAUGGGCAUAUAG
RNAcentral lists this long non-coding RNA (1215 nucleotides) under Chrysolophus pictus (golden pheasant). RNAcentral's name for it is "lncRNA (ENSCPIG00010013611.1)". Lineage: Eukaryota; Metazoa; Chordata; Aves; Galliformes; Phasianidae. The record is from RNAcentral.